UACGGGGGGGGCAAGCGUUGUUCGGAAUUACUGGGCGUAAAGCGCGUGUAGGCGGCUCUUCAAGUCGAGUGUGAAAGCUCCAGGCUUAACCUGGGAAUUGCGCUCGAUACUGUUGAGCUAGAGUGUGGAAGGGGCUACUGGAAUUCCGUGUGUAGCGGUGAAAUGCGUAGAUAUACGGAGGAACACCUGCGGCGAAGGCGGGUAGCUGGGCCGUACCUGACGCUGAGGCGCGAAGGCUAGGGGAGCGAACGGG
RNAcentral lists this ribosomal RNA (253 nucleotides) under uncultured bacterium. Its description in RNAcentral is "partial 16S ribosomal RNA". It matches the Rfam family "Bacterial small subunit ribosomal RNA", at positions 524 to 776 of the family's 1533-position model. The record is from RNAcentral.